GUGUGUUACUAUAGACUAGUAGUUGAAUGAGUUACAGUUCCUGAUCAGUUGGUAGAUUAUUUGUUGGUAACUUGUUGAGUGGUGACACUGUGUCUGACUGUCUGUGAAUAAGGAACCUAUAAUCUUUAUAUAGUAGUCUCUUGUGAUGUCAGUAAUGUAUUGCACAAUAGGUGUUAACCCAUGACAUGAAGUUAUAAUCAUUGGCUUGUUAUAAGUGUUACUGUCAGUGUCAGUGGUUUGCUACAUGUAGAACAAGUUAUGCUGUUAAUUGUUAAUCAUGUCUUGCAUAAUUAUAAGUGUUAGCCAAUGGUCAUUGUCAUUGUCAGUGGCAUGUACAAGUGCAAGUUUGUCUAGCAAAUGAAGCUCAUUUCAUCAAUCAUUCCUCCACCAAAUUUAUAGUGUGUUAGCAUAGAAAAUGCCUUUUUGCAUGUAUAGCAACCAUUUUUCUAUAAACUAUAAAACUACAUUUACUGUAUAUGCAUUUGAGUAUAGGUGUGUGUAUAAGCAUACUUGUAUGCAUACAUUAUAUGAUUACCGUAAAUGUUCAAAUAAAAGCCCGGGCGUUUAUUUCUUUCCAGGACAAAAAAAUUGCGUAAAAUAAAAAAAAGAAAAAGCAAAACUGGGAUUCGAACCCGGAACUCCAGGUUCCAUGCACUCAGUUUAACAAGUUAGGCCAUUUGGGACACUCUUAAGGAUGUGGUACUUAUAUUGACUCAAAUAUGCGUAUCUAUACUUGGAGAAUCUUAGUACCAGGCGUUUAUUCAAGCCCGGCCUUUAUUUGAACAUUUACGGUAUGUGGAUCUACAUUACAGUACAUUACUAGUAAAAAGUGACUCUGCCUAAUAUUUGGCCAUUUUUGGCCAUUUCAACCAAUAAACUGCAUUUUGUGUUUUUCAAUAAUGAAUGAACACUACCCAACUCUUUACCAUGAAUUUGUUUGCAGAUUAAAGUAACCACAAAGUUGCAUUGUGUUUUAUUGUGACUAUUUAAGAGUUUUGUCUCUGUCUCUUUCAUUUAUUCAUUCAUUGAACUGUUUUUAUUUCUACACAGAAAUAUGUGCUGUGUCACGUCAUCAUGUUCAAAGAAUGAAAUUGAAAGAUGCCUUAAACUUUUUGGUCAGGCAGCAAACCCAGCAAUGAAUACUGUAUCAACUACUAAAGCAUGAUUAGUGAGUAUAUUGAGGAAGUAUAGGUUUGAAAGCGGAUCAUCUGAUACUGAGAUACAAUUAAAAAAGAAACAAGGUUUUACUCGGUCUCCAAAAGAUUGUUUUUCUAAGAAUGACUCCCUAAUAAAAUCAGUUGGAAUUAAAUUUUAUUUUUAUUUUCGGGUAGUUUACAAGCAUAAUAUUAUUUUGAUUUUUUUUGCAAAAUAAUAAUAAGUUUCUGUAAUUUUUAUUAGAUGAAUUUCAAGGGCUUGGUGUAGGUGUGGUUAGCCCUGCCUUAAAACCACGUGGAGUCA
This is a long non-coding RNA of Amphimedon queenslandica, 1458 nucleotides long. RefSeq lists it as uncharacterized. The record is from RefSeq and is a predicted model, not a curated record. NCBI's taxonomy places the organism in Eukaryota, Metazoa, Porifera, Demospongiae, Haplosclerida, Niphatidae. The transcript has 2 exons.